AGGGUAGAUGUGUAGUUCUCAACUCUUGGAAGGAAGUUUAUUGACCGUUGCGGAAGGGGUGAACUGUCUGGAGCUCAGCCAGAGCACUGAGUCUCUGAUGACUGGACUGAUGUGGUGGAACACAUAGACAAAACAGAGUAGAGGCCUGGUUGAAUUCUGGGGGCCCAACCAAGGGGAGAGUGGAUUGUUUGAGGACCAAAUACUAACUUUGCUAAGGAAGUUACAGUUAUUUACAAAUUCACUAUGCCCACUCCAAUAGACAUUGAAGUCAAUGGUCAGAUCUUACAGGCUGCUGUAUAUCGGAUGUAGAACUGCUACAUUAACUUUCUCUAAAAAUAAACCAGUUUUCUGAAUAUUCAAAUCCUUGAUAGUUUUCAAUAUCUGAAAUUAUUUAUAAACAUAGAUUAUACUAGAAAUUAUUUAUGAAUGGUUUUGUAGCCAACAGUAUAUUAGUAGCCUUUUUAAAAGGCUAGUGAAACAUUCUCUUACAAAACAGCUCUUUAAUUUUGUGUCGUUGUUUCUCAGUUUGUUUGUUAACCUGUUUGCAUGAUAGCCUCUUAAAAAGGACUUAUUUACAAUGGUAAAUAAAGCUUUGUGUGUAUAAGGUGAAUAGCAGCAUGUG
Long non-coding RNA from Chelonia mydas (Green sea turtle), 622 nucleotides. RefSeq lists it as uncharacterized. The record is from RefSeq and is a predicted model, not a curated record. NCBI's taxonomy places the organism in Eukaryota, Metazoa, Chordata, Testudines, Cheloniidae. The transcript has 3 exons.